UAACGCGAAGAACCUUACCAAGGCUUGACAUACACGAGAACGGGCCAGAAAUGGUCAACUCUUUGGACACUCGUGAAACAGGUGGUGCAUGGUUGUCGUCAGCUCGUGUCGUGAGAUGUUGGGUUAAGUCCCGCAACGAGCGCAACCCUCGUUCUAUGUUGCUAGCGCGUUAUGGCGGGGACUCAUAGGAGACUGCCGGGGUCAACUCGGAGGAAGGUGGGGAUGACGUCAAAUCAUCAUGCCCCUUAUGUCUUGGGCUUCACGCAUGCUACAAUGGCCGGUACAAAAGGGCUGCAAUACCGUAAGGUGGAGCGAAUCCCAAAAAGCCGGUCUCAGUUCGGAUUGAGGUCUGCAACUCGACCUCAUGAAGUCGGAGUCGCUAGUAAUCGCAGAUCAGCA
This 399-nucleotide ribosomal RNA is filed under the name uncultured bacterium. RNAcentral describes it as "bacterial SSU rRNA". It matches the Rfam family "Bacterial small subunit ribosomal RNA", at positions 957 to 1354 of the family's 1533-position model. The record is from RNAcentral.